Acanthosepion pharaonis is the source of this 79-nucleotide non-coding RNA. Lineage: Eukaryota; Metazoa; Mollusca; Cephalopoda; Sepiida; Sepiidae. The record is from the annotation of a GenBank genome assembly.
GUUGAAACACCGGUUCCCGUACGAUCACCGAAGUUAAGCAUCAUCAAGUCUGGUUAGUACCUAGAUUGGUGACCGCUUG